UUGACCUCGGAUCAGGUAGGAAUACCCGCUGAACUUAAGCAUAUCAAAAGGGCCGGAGGAAGGG
RNAcentral lists this ribosomal RNA (64 nucleotides) under Fusarium graminearum. RNAcentral describes it as "partial 28S ribosomal RNA". Lineage: Eukaryota; Fungi; Ascomycota; Sordariomycetes; Hypocreales; Nectriaceae. The record is from RNAcentral.